Molecule: ribosomal RNA, 213 nt
Filed under: uncultured bacterium
Lineage: Bacteria
Description: partial 16S ribosomal RNA
Rfam family: Bacterial small subunit ribosomal RNA
Source: RNAcentral
GACGAACGCUGGCGGCGUGCUUAACACAUGCAAGUCGAGCGGUAAGGCCCUUUCGGGGGUACGACGAGCGGCGAACGGGUAGAGUAACACGUGGGUGACCUCGCCCUCCAGCUCUGGGAGUAAGACCCGGGAAACCCGGGUACUAAUACUGGAUAUGACUCCAUGACGCAUGUUGUGGGGUGGAAAGCCUUGUGCGGCUGAGGAUGGGCCCGG